This 386-nucleotide ribosomal RNA is filed under the name uncultured methanogenic archaeon. RNAcentral describes it as "bacterial SSU rRNA". It matches the Rfam family "Archaeal small subunit ribosomal RNA", at positions 474 to 859 of the family's 1478-position model. The record is from RNAcentral. Lineage: Archaea; Methanobacteriati; Methanobacteriota.
CACCGGUAGCUCUAGUGGUAACAAUUUUUAUUGGGCCUAAAGCGUCCGUAGCCGGUUUAAUAAGUCUCUGGUGAAAUCCUGUAGCUUAACUGUGGGAAUUGCUGGAGAUACUAUUAGACUUGAGACCGGGAGAGGUUAGAGGUACUCCCAGGGUAGAGGUGAAAUUCUGUAAUCCUGGGAGGACCGCCUGUUGCGAAGGCGUCUAACUGGAACGGUUCUGACGGUGAGGGACGAAAGUUAGGGGCGCGAACCGGAUUAGAUACCCGGGUAGUCCUAACUGUAAACGAUGCGGACUUGGUGUUGGGGUGGCUUUGAGCUGCUCCAGUGCCGAAGGGAAGCUGUUAAGUCCGCCGCCUGGGAAGUACGGUCGCAAGACUGAAACUUAA